GGGAGGAGGCAGAACAAUGGAACAAGAUUAACCUGAAAGCAAAGCUGAUCACCUAGUCGCAUCUGAUAGGUCUUACCGUUUGUUUCCAGAAUUAAACAUUCAGCAGGACACUUUCACCAUUAAUGGUCGGGGGAGUUAUGACCCCAUCAGGUUGUUGCCUUGGUUUGUCUGUCUGGUGGUUUUAUUUUCUGCUAUUUAUCCACAGGCAACUGUACUUAUUGCCCUUUAUUAUCUGUCUCAUGAAUCUGGCAUGACUGGCACAAAGUAUGUAAGUAGGUAUUUCAUCAUACAGUGUACAUUUGAUAAUAAGUAUCCUGAAACCAGCAUCACGAACACAAAGCACAAUAAGCACAGCAUAUGUCCAUCUUACACCCCGCUAUAAAGCUGGACAUUUUAAUGAUUUAAUUCAGGAUAAAAACCUGGUUGGGUUCAUGCCCCCAGAUACCUUUUCACAUCUGAAACUUAACAGGAGUAGCCACUAAAGAGUGUCAGGCCCCCAGUCUUCGAUCGGCCAAUUUCACCGCCGGGACCAGGCAGUGAGGGACCCCGAGGAGGCCCAGGACCUGCCGGGACCCCUGUCUCACCACGGCAGGUACCACAUCUUCCGCUGGCUCAGUGGCUCCAAGAUGUUAUUGCACAACCUGACUCAUUCACGCAACUAGUGUGGUGAUUUUGUUUUCAUCUACAACCUGCACCAUCCAAUGUGCUUAGCAACAUUUUCAGUAUCAGCACAACCUAUUUGCUCUAUGUGAGCUCUGAUCUAUUCUACUGUGGCAGACUGCUGCUCAAAGUAGGGUGAUUUUUUUUUGUCCAGACAAACAUUAACAGAGCACCCUAUUAUCGUUAUUUUGCGACAGGGCACAUUUACUAACUAAAAGCACUUCAUGUACAGAAAAAAAACUAUGCUAUUGUAAGCACCCCAGCUGACAAUGAAAAUAAUGCCGUCAAACCAGACCCUAAAAAACUGGUGUGUAACAUGCUUUUGGUGCCGCCAUGAUUCAUGACAGCCGUAUAUCAUGACCGUCUAGUCUGGGACAACUGAGCUUCUGUUUAUUAUUUAUUUACUUAUUACUAACCUAAAAACUAAUUUCCCUUUGAUAUAUAUCUAAAAGACACAUUCUGCGCAUUAACAAUACUACAGUGGCAAUGCGUAUUUGCAUUUUGCUGGAAUAUGAAAAGCACCUCGCCGCUGCCGGCACAGGCAGACUGAGGACUGCAGCAACCCCUCCCGCCCCCCGAUCGCCCCUCAGGCAGAAGCUGCCAGGGGAGAGCAGGUCACCAUCCGGGAAGCGUUCUGCUGCAAAGCCGAUUAAAUGCGAAACAAAUCCGCAGCGCUGUCCCCGUACGGAACAAGGUUAACAUCGGCCACGGCACCAUCCUUCUCAGGAACAGGGACGAGACCUUUGAUAACAUCCUGCUUCUGGCAGAGGGGUGUGGCCUCCGCAGCCAGCAGAGGGCAAGGGGUCCGAUGUUGCUGUGUCCAUGGCAACAGAACCAUGACAGUCACUGAACAGGUGUGGCAUCAAACACAGGGGACUUGGGAGGGGGAUCACCAUCAUGUACCGAAGAAAAAUAAAAAGACGCUAUUGUCU
Paramormyrops kingsleyae is the source of this 1592-nucleotide long non-coding RNA. RefSeq lists it as uncharacterized. NCBI's taxonomy places the organism in Eukaryota, Metazoa, Chordata, Actinopteri, Osteoglossiformes, Mormyridae. The record is from RefSeq and is a predicted model, not a curated record.